GGAGUUAAGAAAUGUAGAUACGCUAAUAUCGUAUCUAUUUGACAAAGGCUCCAAAGGAAGCCACGGCUAACUCUGUGCCAGCAGCCGCGGUAAUACAGAGGUGGCAAGCGUUGUUCGGAAUUAUUGGGCGUAAAGAGCACGUAGGUGGAUUUGUAAGUCAGAUGUGAAAGCCUUCUGUUCAACGGAAGAAUUGCAUCUGAAACUACAAACCUUGAGUAUAGGAGGGGAGAGUGGAACUUCUGGU
Molecule: ribosomal RNA, 244 nt
Filed under: uncultured anaerobic ammonium-oxidizing bacterium
Lineage: Bacteria
Description: partial 16S ribosomal RNA
Rfam family: Bacterial small subunit ribosomal RNA
Source: RNAcentral